AGUGAACGCUGGCGGUAGGCCUAACACAUGCAAGUCGAACGGCAGCACAGUAAGAGCUUGCUCUUACGGGUGGCGAGUGGCGGACGGGUGAGGAAUACAUUGGAAUCUACUUUUUCGUGGGGGAUAGCGUAGGGAAACUUACGCUAAUACCGCAUACGACCUACGGGUGAAAGCAGGGGAUCUUCGGACCUUGCGCGAUUGAAUGAGCCGAUGUCGGAUUAGCUAGUUGGCGGGGUAAAGGCCCACCAAGGCGACGAUCCGUAGCUGGUCUGAGAGGAUGAUCAGCCACACUGGAACUGAGACACGGUCCAGACUCCUACGGGAGGCAGCAGUGGGGAAUAUUGGACAAUGGGCGCAAGCCUGAUCCAGCCAUACCGCGUGGGUGAAGAAGGCCUUCGGGUUGUAAAGCCCUUUUGUUGGGAAAGAAAAGCAGCAGGUUAAUACCCCGCUGUUCUGACGGUACCCAAAGAAUAAGCACCGGCUAACUUCGUG
RNAcentral lists this ribosomal RNA (492 nucleotides) under uncultured bacterium. RNAcentral describes it as "partial 16S ribosomal RNA". It matches the Rfam family "Bacterial small subunit ribosomal RNA", at positions 29 to 507 of the family's 1533-position model. The record is from RNAcentral.